Molecule: unclassified non-coding RNA, 262 nt
Filed under: Hevea brasiliensis (rubber tree)
Lineage: Eukaryota; Viridiplantae; Streptophyta; Magnoliopsida; Malpighiales; Euphorbiaceae
Source: RNAcentral
UUGAAAAAAAAAUAAAGUAGAAUAUAAUUUAUUUGGGAAUCAUCUUUCUUGAAAAGAAAAGGAAAAUUGUAUCUCCAAAGAGACAGGCCUAGACAUUGAGGUGAAACUUUUAAAUUUUAAUGGUCUGGCCCAACGAUCUUUUUGUAGGUCAUUUAUGCUUUAUGAAAUUGUUAACUAAUGAAUUACUUUGUUAUCUUAUAAUUGUUAGCUGCACCUUUUUCUUUGGUUACUUCAUAUGGUUGAACACAUUAUAUUAAGAGAG